UGCGGAGGGAUCAUUACAGAGUUAUCCAACUCCCAAACCCAUGUGAACUUAUCUCUUUGUUGCCUCGGCGCAAGCUACCCGGGACCUCGCGCCCCGGGCGGCCCGCCGGCGGACAAACCAAAACUCUUGUUAUCUUAGUUGAUUAUCUGAGUGUCUUAUUUAAUAAGUCAAAACUUUCAACAACGGAUCUCUUGGUUCUGGCAUCGAUGAAGAACGCAGCGAAAUGCGAUAAGUAAUGUGAAUUGCAGAAUUCAGUGAAUCAUCGAAUCUUUGAACGCACAUUGCGCCCAUUAGUAUUCUAGUGGGCAUGCCUGUUCGAGCGUCAUUUCAACCCCUAAGCACAGCUUAUUGUUGGGAACCUACGGCUUCGUAGUUCCUCAAAGACAUUGGCGGAGUGGCAGUGGUCCUCUGAGCGUAGUAAUCUUUUAUCUCGCUUCUGUUAGGUGCUGCCCCCCCGGCCGUAAAACCCCCAAUUUUUUCUGGUUGACCUCGGAUCAGGUAGGAAUACCCGCUGAACUUAA
This 521-nucleotide ribosomal RNA is filed under the name Nigrospora sphaerica. RNAcentral describes it as "eukaryotic LSU rRNA". The stretch from base 172 to 325 matches the Rfam family "5.8S ribosomal RNA". Lineage: Eukaryota; Fungi; Ascomycota; Sordariomycetes; Amphisphaeriales; Apiosporaceae. The record is from RNAcentral.